UGAUAGAGGAGCGGUUUUCAUCAGUAGUCCGAGUAAACGCCGGGAAGCGGCGGACGAAAGGGGACGCCGCCGAAGGGCUGUGUGCUUUCCCGGUCGCACGGCACCUGGGCCGACGGAGAAUAUCCGGCGGACUGUCGCAUUUUGCGGAGGGCUGUCA
RNAcentral lists this non-coding RNA (157 nucleotides) under human gut metagenome. RNAcentral's name for it is "Lysine riboswitch". It matches the Rfam family "Lysine riboswitch aptamer". Rfam says of the family: Riboswitches are metabolite binding domains within certain messenger RNAs that serve as precision sensors for their corresponding targets. Allosteric rearrangement of mRNA structure is mediated by ligand binding, and this results in modulation of gene expression. This family includes riboswitches that sense lysine in a number of genes involved in lysine metabolism, including lysC. The record is from RNAcentral. RNAcentral also lists the same sequence under 1 other name.